GACGAACGCUGGCGGCGUGCCUAACACAUGCAAGUCGAGCGGAGUCAGUAAGAGGAAGUUUUCGGAUGGAAUCUUAUUGAUUUAGCGGCGGACGGGUGAGUAACGCGUGAGCGACCAACCUUGCACAGGGGGAUAACGGACCGAAAGGUUCACUAAUCCCGCAUGAGACCACGGUGGUGCAUGACACAGGGGUCAAAGGAGCAAUCCGGUGCAAGACGGGCUCGCGUCCGAUUAGGUAGUUGGAGGGGUAACGGCCCACCAAGCCUAUGAUCGGUAGCCGACCUGAGAGGGUGAUCGGCCACAUUGAAACUGAGAUACGGUCCAAACUCCUACGGGAGGCAGCAGUGGGGAAUAUUGGGCAAUGGGGGAAACCCUGACCCAGCAACGCCGCGUGAGGGAAGAAGGUUUUCGGAUUGUAAACCUCUGUUCUUGGAGAAGAGGAGAAGACGGUAUCCAAGGAGGAAGCCCCGGCUAACUACGUGCCAGCCGCCGCAGUAA
RNAcentral lists this ribosomal RNA (498 nucleotides) under uncultured bacterium. RNAcentral's name for it is "partial 16S ribosomal RNA". It matches the Rfam family "Bacterial small subunit ribosomal RNA", at positions 28 to 523 of the family's 1533-position model. The record is from RNAcentral.